UACGGAGGAUGCGAGCGUUAUCCGGAUUUACUGGGUGUAAAGGGAGCGUAGACGGCCAGACAAGUCAGAAGUGAAAGCCCAGGGCUCAACCCUGGGACUGCUUUUGAAACUGCCGGGCUGGAGUGCAGGAGAGGUAAGCGGAAUUCCUAGUGUAGCGGUGAAAUGCGUAGAUAUCAGGAGGAACACCGGCGGCGAAGGCGGCCUGCUGGACUGAAACUGACGUUGAGGCUCGAAAGCGUGGGGAGCAAACAGG
RNAcentral lists this ribosomal RNA (253 nucleotides) under uncultured Eubacteriales bacterium. Its description in RNAcentral is "uncultured Clostridiales bacterium partial 16S ribosomal RNA". It matches the Rfam family "Bacterial small subunit ribosomal RNA", at positions 524 to 776 of the family's 1533-position model. The record is from RNAcentral. Lineage: Bacteria; Bacillati; Bacillota; Clostridia; Eubacteriales.